AAACCAUGCAUCAGACAUUUCCUAAGUGAUUCCUUGAAUCGCUCCCAAGCUUCAUACAAUGUCUCAUCCUCUAAUUGUCGAAAAGAUGUGAUAUCAUUCCUUAACUU
This is a non-coding RNA of Gossypium raimondii (Peruvian cotton), 107 nucleotides long. NCBI's taxonomy places the organism in Eukaryota, Viridiplantae, Streptophyta, Magnoliopsida, Malvales, Malvaceae. The record is from Rfam.